GACAGAGGUGCCGAGCGUUAGGCGGAAUCACUGGGCUUAAAGCGUGUGUAGGUGGAUGUCUAAGUACCUUGUGAAAUCCCACGGCUUAACCGUGGAACUGCUCGGUAUACUGGAUGUCUUGAGCCAGCUAGGGGCUACCGGAACAAAUGGUGGAGCGGUGAAAUGCGUAGAUAUGUGGAGGAAUACCGAUGGCGAAGGCAGCCCCCUGGGAUAACACUGACGCUCAUGCACGAAAGCGUGGGGAGCAAACAGG
This 253-nucleotide ribosomal RNA is filed under the name uncultured bacterium. RNAcentral describes it as "partial 16S ribosomal RNA". It matches the Rfam family "Bacterial small subunit ribosomal RNA", at positions 524 to 776 of the family's 1533-position model. The record is from RNAcentral.